UCGGCCCCGGUUCACGGUGGACAACCCGUCUCCCGACCCGGCGCC
Streptomyces sp. NRRL F-5053 is the source of this 45-nucleotide non-coding RNA. The record is from Rfam. Lineage: Bacteria; Bacillati; Actinomycetota; Actinomycetes; Kitasatosporales; Streptomycetaceae.